GAAUUAAAUGUGAAAUUUCACGUUAUAAACCAAUUUCUGCAAUACAUUUUCUUUAUUCUUUUUAAGAGUCUUAGAUCAUCUGUCAGUGAAGGAAUUCGGGCAGUAGAUGAACGAAUGUCUAAACAAGAGGACAUUAGGGAAAAAAAGAUGUGUGUUUUAAGGCUUAUACAAGUUAUUCGAUCAGUUGAGAAAAUUGAAAAAAUAUUAAGUUUUCAAAAUUCAAAAGAAACAUCUGCACUAGAAGCAAGCAGGUAAGUGACUUUUACUAAAUUAAUAUUGUAUAAAUUAAUACUUCCCACCCAACUGAAAAAAAUUUUUGAGUUAGUACUCAUUUCUGAAAGAGAAAAUCCAAAUUUAUGUGCUUAAUGCUCUUAAAUGUAGCUCAAGAAAAGUUGGGUACAUAAAAUGGUAAAGUUUAUAAUGUGCAUCAUUAUAA
Molecule: long non-coding RNA, 436 nt
Filed under: Dasypus novemcinctus (nine-banded armadillo)
Lineage: Eukaryota; Metazoa; Chordata; Mammalia; Cingulata; Dasypodidae
Description: lncRNA (ENSDNOG00000052642.1)
Source: RNAcentral